UACAGGGGGGGCAAGCGUUGUUCGGAUUUACUGGGCGUAAAGGGCGCGUAGGCGGCCUCCGCAAGUCAGUUGUGAAAUCUCCGAGCUUAACUCGGAAAGGUCAACUGAUACUGCGGGGCUAGAGUGCGGAAGGGGCAACUGGAAUUCUUGGUGUAGCGGUGAAAUGCGUAGAUAUCAAGAGGAACACCUGCGGCGAAGGCGGGUUGCUGGGCCGACACUGACGCUGAGGCGCGAAAGCUAGGGGAGCGAACGGG
Molecule: ribosomal RNA, 254 nt
Filed under: uncultured bacterium
Lineage: Bacteria
Description: partial 16S ribosomal RNA
Rfam family: Bacterial small subunit ribosomal RNA
Source: RNAcentral